UACGAGAGGCGCAAACGUUAUUCGGAUUUACUGGGCUUAAAGAGUUCGUAGGCGGCGCAGAAAGUAGGGUGUGAAAGCCCUCGGCUCAACCGAGGAAUUGCGCUCUAAACUACUGUGCUUGAGGAACCUAGAGGUGAGCAGAACUGAUGGUGGAGCGGUGAAAUGCGUUGAUAUCAUCAGGAAUACCGGAGGCGAAGGCGGCUCACUGGGGGUUUUCUGACGCUGAGGUGCGAAAGCGUGGGGAGCAAACAGG
Molecule: ribosomal RNA, 253 nt
Filed under: uncultured bacterium
Lineage: Bacteria
Description: partial 16S ribosomal RNA
Rfam family: Bacterial small subunit ribosomal RNA
Source: RNAcentral